CGGGGUGAGUAAUGUCUGGGAAACUGCCUGAUGGAGGGGGAUAACUACUGGAAACGGUAGCUAAUACCGCAUAACGUCGCAAGACCAAGAGGGGACCUUCGGGCCUCUUGCCAUCGGAUGUGCCCAGAUGGGAUUAGCUAGUAGGUGGGGUAACGGCUCACCUAGGCGACGAUCCCUAGCUGGUCUGAGAGGAUGACCAGCCACACUGGAACUGAGACACAGUCCAG
RNAcentral lists this ribosomal RNA (227 nucleotides) under uncultured bacterium. RNAcentral describes it as "partial 16S ribosomal RNA". It matches the Rfam family "Bacterial small subunit ribosomal RNA", at positions 104 to 334 of the family's 1533-position model. The record is from RNAcentral.